AUGCUUUUGACCCUCUGAGGUGCCCUCUGACAUCAGGAAAGCACACAGCCUUUCUAAAGUUGAUUUUCUAAACAGAAAAUUGAUAGCCCUGUCCAUAACUGAUAUAGAAACAAUUUGAGAAUGUCAAGGAACUCAGAAAGAGUAAUGAUUUUGGUGAUGAUGCUGAGUACUGAUGGAGGUUGCUUUCCCCGCAGAGAGCUCCAUGUGCCUUGUGGUCCUGUUGCAUGUCCUUCACAUGCACCUGUGAAGGAGAUUUGGGCUCACACCGUGUCUGUGUAGCAGACCUCUGUCUCACAGAUUUAUAGAAAAGAAUGGACCCGGGUUCCUUGGAGAAGUGAGUCCAGGUCCAGGACAAGGACAAUACAAGAUACAGACUCUUGGGGAAGACCCACUGGGAACCUGAUGGAGAUGGAAAUGAUGGAAAGAGACUGAGAAACAGCUCCUACUGCUCCACCCUAUUGCAGCCCUCCCUCCCUGAGCAAGAAAGAUUUUUCAUGUACACAAACCAAACCUCAAGUCAGAAAUCAUUUCCUGAAGAAGUCUUCUGGGUCCACGUUUCAAGUCAAGUCCUGUUGAUACCAGCUCUCGGAGAACCAGAUCUCUCUCCUUCAGAUCACUUAUGCGGUUUGUAGUUAAACAUUUAUUAAUGUGAUCAUUUGCUUAAUUUUUGUCCUAUCUCCCAACAAACUAAAAAUCCCCAAAGAAUUUGUUUCUUAACAUGUUGUUUUAAUUUUUUCUCAUCAUUUUCUCACCCUGUAUCUAAUGCCCUAUUGUUUUUGGGCGGCGUUGGUCAUUUAUUUUGACUCUUCAGCACCUUUUUCUUUCUUGUAUUUGGGGAAUUCUUGACCUUCUGAGCCCAGGACCUUCCUUGCCAGCCAUCAUACUUUGCAGUCAAGCACAAACACAUCCCAGGCUGUGACAUCCAGCCUUCCAGAGACGCAGUCUAAAAGACUCUAGGAGUUGUCUCUGGUACCUGGAACCACCAGUGGAAACUGUGGUGUUGUGUCUUGUUGUGGCCUGGUGCUGGCAGAGUCUUGUGUCUUAUUUUGGAGAUUGUUCCUGGAAGAAUGGGCAUCAAGCUGGCUUCUGGGCCUUUCCCAGAGAUUCGGAAACUUACAUCCUUUUAAUAAAAUAUUUUUCUACUUUAAUGAACUAGAGCAAUUUCUUUGGUUUUCAACUCAGGUAAGAACCUCAAAAUGAAUGAGUGAAUAAUGGAAUCUCUUUGCUGCCAACCCAGAUUGGAUGUUUUAUUGUUUAAGAUGUUCUAUGAAGUUAUUGCAAAAGGGACUUGAAUUAUAGAAAUGAUCUGAGUGUUGUCUAGAGGCUUGUCAAGGCCCAGUAUACUUCAGCUGUAGGAGGCUACAAAAAUGUUCUUGGUUUCCUGUACAUAUAUCCAUUACCUUCCUAAUAUCUAUUGCUAAAAAUCUUCUGACAAGUAGUUUGGAGUUCUGUGUAACCAGUUUCAGAAUAAUUCAGCUCUUAAUGCUUUCUCUUUGUUAUUUUACUGUACAUUGCUAAGUUGAAAGAAAAAUGUU
Molecule: non-coding RNA, 1535 nt
Organism: Vicugna pacos (alpaca)
Lineage: Eukaryota; Metazoa; Chordata; Mammalia; Artiodactyla; Camelidae
Source: RefSeq, a predicted model, not a curated record